GUAUUUUGUUUCAUUUCUUUAAAGUGUUUUAUACACCGUCUGUACUAGCCACUAUUUAGCUUACAAAUAGACCGACUACGAAUAACCCACGUUUAGCCCAGAAAUAACCAUUAAUUUAAUUACAUGUGGUUUUUGCCAAAAUAACUUGUGAGUUGUAUGGUAUUUCAUUGUAAGCAAAGUUAACAGCGAUUACAAGGUUUGUUUAAUUUCUUUAAAGUGUUUUAUGCACCGUCGUACAUAGCCACUAUUUAGCUCAUAAAUAGACCGACUACGAACAAACCAUGUUUAGCCCAAAAUAACCUUGAAUUUAAUAAAAUUUUGUUUAUGCCAAAAUAACUUGCAAGAAUUAUGAUAUUUUAUCAGGCAUUGCAAAGACACCAGUGAAAUUAAGAUGUUUGGUUUUAUUUAUCUUAUCUGAAUAUCUGUUGUCACGCAUAACAUUCAUUAUUUGACCGUAUUUCAAAGAUAAACAAAAUCCAGUUACAACUCCGAACCGCUAGAUGGCAGAGUACACAAACACGGGGCCAUAUCUCACGAGAAAGAUUUCCGCUGUUUGAAAAUCAACAACAUCAGUGAGCAGCCACGAGGAAAGCAUGUACCACACUCGUUUGGUCUUGUGUCAAAGCUGUGCGAAACUGGAGGGAGAAACUUGAGAGACCGUGCCGGAAGAAUGCUGGACAGAGUUCACUAAAAUUCAUUCAUUUCAAAGUUCAACAUGAAUGGUGGUGGUCCACUGCAGAAGCAAGCAUUUGAAAAAACAUCAGUUCUCAGUUAUUAAAGAUGCUGUGUUGAACAACUUCCCAGCAGCAACAGAACUGGAAGUGAAGGAUGCAAUGGGGGCAUUUCAAACAGGCACCAGGGAGCAUGGGGGGGGGGUUAUAGAAAUUAGUACAAUUAAUAAGUUGACGUGAACUGAAGAUAGUUUGUUAAUGUUUAGAUGUUAUUUCAUUUUUAAAAUUGUAUUUUGUUAUAUAUGCUUUUAUUUUGUUACUGUUUUUAUUCUUUUUGUUAAAACUAGUUUUUCUUCAUUUUGUCUUAUCUGAAUUUCUAUUGUAUUAACAAUAUUUUUUGUAAUAAAUUGCAUGAUUGCAUGUUUAUGAGAACCUUUUUUAAUGGAUUAAAAAGAAUUCUUUAGCCAUUCUUUUGUUCUUUAUUAGACACACAUGUGUAGUCGUUUAAUAGCCGUCUAUUUAACGGCUAGUCUAUUCUUGGGCUAUGAUAGACGUCUACUAGAUUUUCACUGACAGCCCAAAAUUAGCCUUGUUUUAGCCUAGACCCACAUUCACCGUCUAUUAGACGUAUAUAUGUAGACGUUUAAUAGCCGUCUAUUUGAUGACUAGUCUAUUUCUUGGGCUAUGAUAGACGUCUACUAGAUUUUCACUGACAGCCCAAAAUUAGCCUUGUUUUAGCCUAGACGUCAGGGGGGUGUUUAGACGGCUACUAGACGUCUAUUAGCCGCAAAAUUGCUUGCUG
Molecule: non-coding RNA, 1473 nt
Organism: Paramisgurnus dabryanus
Lineage: Eukaryota; Metazoa; Chordata; Actinopteri; Cypriniformes; Cobitidae
Source: RefSeq, a predicted model, not a curated record